This 218-nucleotide non-coding RNA is filed under the name Bythopirellula polymerisocia. The record is from RNAcentral. Lineage: Bacteria; Pseudomonadati; Planctomycetota; Planctomycetia; Pirellulales; Lacipirellulaceae.
AGAAUCCCGUCCAGUAGAGCUUGACCAGCAACUGGAAGCGAGUUUUGCGUGGUGCCGGGUGACCGGUCCUGCGAAGCGUAAACAGCGAAUCCGAAAGCCAUGCUAUUGAGCGUCGAAAGACCCAAUCGUGGGAGCCUUUGCCUUUUGAUGACCAAGGGCCACGUUGCUGCACUGUAUGGGUCUGGUGCAAGCAGUCCUGCCGGCGUCGGUUUGGAACA